This 488-nucleotide long non-coding RNA is filed under the name Pan troglodytes (chimpanzee). RNAcentral's name for it is "lincRNA". Lineage: Eukaryota; Metazoa; Chordata; Mammalia; Primates; Hominidae. The record is from RNAcentral.
AGUCGAAGAGGCUAAUUCCGGGCCUCUUAUAAAAAUGAGAAAGAAAAGACUCAUUUCCUCUAGAUCAGAGAGAUGGCUUCUGGAUUCAUCUUUCCCUGCAAUCCAGCUUCUCCUCCUGGGGCCCUCAUACUGCAGACUGGGAUCAUCAUCCAGGCUUUUGCACUGGGCCAGGAAUUUGGGAAUCAUCCUGGAUCCGUCUGCCCCUGUCAACCUUUCUCUGUCAACAGAUAUUUAUUAGGCAUCUUCAACAGCCAGGCCCUGUUCAUGGUGCUGAAGAACAGCAUGUAUAAAACAACCCUGCCCUCACAGAGCGAUCACCAGUGACCUGUGGUGUGGAGUCUCCUUUUACCUCUGUCUCCUCCUUCCCACUGUCACCAUCCUUGGUCCUCCUCUGUCACCUGGAAUACUGCACUUGGUAACCAGCAUGAUCUUCUAACGCUAGUUUUACCCUUGUCAGCACUUUGCCGAAAACCUCAAAUAAAGACUUU